This 330-nucleotide long non-coding RNA is filed under the name Brassica napus (rape). Its description in RNAcentral is "long non-coding RNA (BNAP_LNC017886)". Lineage: Eukaryota; Viridiplantae; Streptophyta; Magnoliopsida; Brassicales; Brassicaceae. The record is from RNAcentral.
AACAUCUUAAAAACUGACUUAAGUAUUUGAUCCAAAAAAAAAAAAAACUGAUUUAAGUGUCUUCUCGUAUACUUGAGUAGUCACCUCCAAGUAAUUUUAAAAACGACAAUGCAUUACCGUGACUUGUUAAUUUAAUGAACUGCCACAGAUAUAAAAAUAUUAUAAACAAUAUAGCCAUCAAAAGGCCUCUUUGAUGAGAAGGUGUAAGCUGCAUGUCGGUAUAUGUUUUUUUCUCUGGAUUGUCUUAAUAAACAAACUAGUUAAAAAGUCUUAAUAAACAAAUAGAUCCUGGCUUAUAUGCACAAGGCUCGAAUCUCUUUUAUACCCUCU